Molecule: long non-coding RNA, 398 nt
Filed under: Homo sapiens (human)
Lineage: Eukaryota; Metazoa; Chordata; Mammalia; Primates; Hominidae
Description: non-protein coding lnc-SEC63-5:1
Source: RNAcentral
AACCCUCUUCUGUUCCAAGCACUGUGUGAGACCCUGCCUUGGAUAAGUCAAAUGCAUGAGCUUAGGAAAGUAGAGUAACUGCUACAAAUAAUAAAAAACAGAUACAUCUGCAGUCAAGACAGUCACCACCGAAGAGUACCUGGUGAACCCUGUGGGCAUGAACCGCUACAGCGUGGACACCUCCGCCUCCACCUUUAACCACAGGGGCUCCUUGCACCCCUCCUCCUCGCUGUACUGCAAGAGGCAGAACUCUGGAGACAGCCACCUUGGGGGUGGUCCUGCUGCCACCGCUGGUGGUCCCCGCACUAGCCCCAUGUCUUCUGGUGGCCCCUCGGCACCUGGGCUGAGGCCUCCAGCCUCCAGCCCCAAGAGAAACACGACCUCUCUUGAAGGAAACA